RNAcentral lists this non-coding RNA (26 nucleotides) under Mus musculus (house mouse). Lineage: Eukaryota; Metazoa; Chordata; Mammalia; Rodentia; Muridae. The record is from RNAcentral.
UAGGAAAGGUUGGCAGGACUUGUAUA